RNAcentral lists this ribosomal RNA (288 nucleotides) under Streptococcus pneumoniae. RNAcentral describes it as "partial 23S ribosomal RNA". It matches the Rfam family "Bacterial large subunit ribosomal RNA", at positions 2638 to 2925 of the family's 2925-position model. Lineage: Bacteria; Bacillati; Bacillota; Bacilli; Lactobacillales; Streptococcaceae. The record is from RNAcentral.
CUAUCCGUCGCGGGCGCAGGAAAUUUGAGAGGAGCUGUCCUUAGUACGAGAGGACCGGGAUGGACACACCGCUGGUGUACCAGUUGUUCUGCCAAGAGCAUCGCUGGGUAGCUAUGUGUGGCCGGGAUAAGUGCUGAAAGCAUCUAAGCACGAAGCCCCCCUCAAGAUGAGAUUUCCCAUUGCGCAAGCAAGUAAGAUCCCUCAAAGACGAUGAGGUAGAUAGGUUCGGGGUGGAAGCGUGGCGACACGUGCAGCUGACGAAUACUAAUCGAUCGAGGACUUAACCAA